AGACAAAUGUCGAACCACUUGAUUUGUUUGGAGAAAUGUAUGUUCUUUGCAGCGCCAAAUAAACUACUUGAAGAGGGUCAACAGAGAGUUCUAGUUAGGUGGGCACCUUUGGAUAGUGGUUUCUAUAAACUGAAUAUUUAUGUGGCGAAAGGCAGGGGAGAAGAUAGUUUCCGUGUGCGGUUUGUCGGUAGUUUUUUGUGGGUGGUUUUCUGAUUCGAUGUA
RNAcentral lists this long non-coding RNA (222 nucleotides) under Olea europaea (common olive). RNAcentral's name for it is "long non-coding RNA (OEUR_LNC001449)". Lineage: Eukaryota; Viridiplantae; Streptophyta; Magnoliopsida; Lamiales; Oleaceae. The record is from RNAcentral.